CAUGUCCUUUUGAAAAUAAUUUAAGGUCUAAUCUGCUCAAUGAAUAUUAAAUAGCCGCAGUAUUUUGACUGUGCAAAGGUAGCAUAAUAAUUAGUCUCUUGAUUAGAGACUGGAAUGAAUGAUUGGACAAGAAAAUUACUGUCUCUUUCUUAAUAUUUUUGAAUUUUAUUUUUAAGUGAAAAAGCUUAAAUUAUUAUAAAAGACGAGAAGACCCUAUAGAGUUUAAUAUUUUUAAGUAAUUAAAUUUUAGAAUAAUUAUUUAUUUAAGUUUAUUUGGUUGGGGUGAUUGAAAGAUUAAUAAAAUUCUUUUAAAAUAAUAUUGGAGAUUUUCAAUUUUUUUAUCUAUAGAUUAUAAAUAUAAAAUAAAUUACCUUAGGGAUAACAGCGUAAUUUUUCUUUAAAGUUCUUAUUAUAAGGAAAGUUUGCGACCUCGAUGUUGGAUUAAAAUUAAUUUUUGGUGCAAUAGCUUAAAAAUUGGGUCUGUUCGACCUUUAAAAUUUUACAUGAUCUGAGUUUAAACCGGUGUGAGCCAGGUUGGAUUCUAUCUUUAGAAAAAUAUUAUAUUUUAGUACGAAAGGACCAAAUAUAUAUUAAAUUAAUUG
This 602-nucleotide ribosomal RNA is filed under the name Cautires sp. UPOL A00024. Its description in RNAcentral is "partial 16S ribosomal RNA". It matches the Rfam family "Bacterial large subunit ribosomal RNA", at positions 1822 to 2714 of the family's 2925-position model. The record is from RNAcentral. Lineage: Eukaryota; Metazoa; Arthropoda; Insecta; Coleoptera; Lycidae.